This 633-nucleotide long non-coding RNA is filed under the name Pandoravirus dulcis. RNAcentral describes it as "putative ncRNA". The record is from RNAcentral.
GCCAGCGGCUUGAGGGCGUCCUCGGUCUGCGCAUAGGCCACGAUCAACUUGUCGCACCGGUAGGCAAACGAACCCGUGACCCUGUUGCCGCCACCGCCACUGGGCGCCGACAGGGUGCCGCCGACGAUGACGGGCAGCCGCGGCGAGUAGGGUCGCACGGCAAUGAGGGUCCUGGCGUUGACCAGGACAUUGUCGGCGCUGUCGGCCGUCAGGUAGGCGCGCAUGCCGUCAUAGAUGCCGCGGCACCCGCCGGCGACGACAAAGCCCGCAUAGGGCACUGAAAAGAUGCGCGAGAUCGUGGGCGACAGGUUGAGCAGCGCGUAGAGCGUGGUCAACUUGUCAAAGGCGCCCAGGCCGCCGCCCGACAGUUGCGGCACAAAGAGCGAGGGCACGAGCGGACCCAGUUGGUGCGUGGCGAUAAACUGCGAAAAGGGCACCAGCAGUUCGGCGGGCACCGGCGAGGGCACGUCGGCGCGGUCGAUCCACGGGUACGAGGCAAUGAUGACCGACAGCCGAUAGUAGGCCGCGAGGAACUCGGGCGUGGGCGGCGCGGGCGGCUGGAAGCCAUAGGAGACGCCCUGGCGCAGGUUGACGGCAUAGUUGGGCGUCGUGUCCACGGUAAAGUCGAGCGGG